CGACUAUGCAUAGACCACAGGCUGAUAAAUUUCUCCUUCAUUCUCUUUGAAUGGGGCAAUUCCCACUCAGCUGGCUAUUUUCCCCAAAAUAGUAUAGGAGGGAUAUUUUUGACUGUCUUCCUUAUUAACUCAAAAAGUCCCUUCAGCCUCCUCCCUUAGGAAUUGAGUGAAAAGUUGGAUGUUGGAUGAAGAAUUUAUCUGAGAGGAAAUUUCUGGGGCUUGGGGAAUAUUCGACUGUGGAGUUCUGUUUCUGAGUUUCUCCGUGAACGCAGGAACAUCUUCACUGUUUUUUAGCGUAUGCUUUAUGCUUUCAAGUUUGGGGAACGUCCACGUCUUGGAUUUCAGCACAUAGUCACUUGUCAGUUGCCCACUUUGGUGAGAAGAUGAGUAGCAAUGAAUCAUCUCCUUCUUCUUUUUGGUGGAUAGCUGUAUAAUUUCUCCUGAAUUGGGCCUAUUGCUGAAAAGUCAGCUCACGUCCAUAUAUCAUCUCUCCUGUUUGGAAGCUGGACCAGAGAAGACAAUGGUUUCCCCUGUGCCAUCCAACUUCCCCACUCACCAUCUUGUUUCGGGGACCAUCCUGUGAAGGCACAGCAUAAACCUCGAAGAGGGAUGUUUCAAGCAUUAGUCAGGGAGCAAGGAUGACUCUGUGGCCCUUCAAGGUGUCUGUGAAACCAAGGCAAUGAGAAAGUAUGUGCGGGAGACAUCUGCAUGGGCACACCCCAAUAACCUGGAAAUAAGGGAAAUAUGAUUGCCUUCUGGCACUUAUACUGUGAAGUCAACACAAAAUGGGUCAUAGCAGAGUCCUGCAGAGCCGCCUUAAGGAAGUGGAAUGCCUUCCAGGUUUUGUCUGGGUGGCCAAAGGAACCAAGAGGAUUAUCUGUACUCUGAAAUCACACUUUUCCCAAAUAUCCCAUGGUAAGGACUUAUUCUGCAGUUACCUCCACUGUCUGCUGGCUUGUCUGUAAAAAGGAGGAGAAAUUGCAGAAAAGCAUGAACAGGAGCCUUGAGAUACUGUCACUACCCUACUCACGGAUGAGGAAAAUAACACUCAAGAGGCCAGAUUCACAACAAUGAGUAUUUCAAGUCUGUGUUGAAUGAUUCACUGUGCUUCACAUUGUUGACAAUGUAUUAGUCCUUCUAAGGGAACCGGCCACCCACAUCACUGACCAAUGAGAGAGAGGGACUGAACUGCUGUGAGUAAUACAACAGAUCUUUGCUCUACCAUCCAACCAAGAUUGAUCGAAUCAAGGAUGGGCACCUAACUCAAGGACAGAAAUUCAUCAACUACUUAGAAACCUUGGGCCUGAAGCAAAAAACAGAAGUGGGGUUUUUAUCAAAAAUUUACACAAUGAAAUUGUUGAAAAGUGCUUAGUUAGUGGUGGGGUCAGAAGCAGAAAGGAUGCCAAGAGCCAAGUUAAGAUGAAGACAAGCUAUUUGCAAGGAGAAGUUAUAAGGACGCAAAAAAUGUAAGUAGAGGACACUAGUCAAUAGAAUUACUGGGUUCACAGAGAGAAGCAGAAAUGCCAUUAUAAAGAGAAAGCAGGUGGCCCCUGGGAGUUAUAAGGAGGGUAACUGGCCCCUGAAGUUGCUAUGAUUUCCAAUGACUGCUAUUUUGGGAUAAUUCACUCUUAUUUUUAUAACUUGGGGUGUUUGAAGGAGAUCACUGUUCCUUGCAACUAAACAAGGUUGAUUAGGACUCUGUACUAUAAGAUGGAACAUUGGACACGGGAAAAACAAAUCACAGUGACAUUAACAAAGAUUUUUUGCAUUAAUGGUGGCUGGAAGCUCCUCCCCCAAUUACCUCUCACAAGGAAUAGAAUUGACAGCAGAGGCUGAAGUGAGCUAAGUACACAGGUGUGAUGAGGGGAAGCAGCCAGGAAAGACAGCCAUGUACAUAACUUGUGAGUUGCAACAACCUUUCAAACACUGCUUCCAGUGGUCCUAUGUGAUGAGAAUUAAUGUUCAAGAACAAGAUUCUACCAGAUCUUUACCUGGGAAAUGUACACCAGACUCUCUAUAAAGCAGAAAAUGAACAUAAAAAUGAUUUAAGCAAACAAGCUUUGGAGGGUAUCAUCCCAUCAGUAAUUCAGAAACACCAAACAUCCUAAAUGUCCACAGAACCCCCAAAUUCUGCUUUUCAAUGGAGUUUUACUGAAUGCACGUUAAGCUUGAAGCUGUGCCAAAAGAACAAACUGAAAUCACUCAGAGGGUGACAUUGUGGAAGGACAGAAGCAGACAUUCCAAAGGGACUCCGAUUCCCAAAGGCAUCGAUGCAUUAGGUUAUUAACCUCAGCUGAAUCAUUCAUAUGCCACAGUCCCUAUUCUAAGUUCUGUAAGGGGAAACCUUUCCGUUACAACUCAAUAUGUCUUUUACUUUUUUCUCCUUUCCAUUUACAGAUACUCACACCAGGGAAGAGUUAGUUGAAAAUGUCCUUGCUCCCCAGGCAUUUGCUAGGGAAAGAGGUGGGGGAGCAUUCGACAGCUGAGUGUUCGGCUAUAACUCAGAGACUGUCUGCGUGAAAUGUGGAUUGGUUACCUUGAGACUGGACCAGUCUCUAAACAGAAUUUCACUACAUUAAAAGAGCAAUGCAUUUGCCUGUGAAAGUCUAGACUAGAAAAUGACUCUCUGUGGCCAUGGCAUCAAAAAUACUAGAGAAAGAAAGGAAUAAAUGCUUUCUGAUGGAUUCAACACCUACAUGGCAAAUUUGCCAAAACCCUUUGUGUAACUUGAUCAUCAAGUUACAAUAAAAUCAGGAAAAGUAAUGAAAGAAAAAGCAUUCUUUUCCCAUAGUUUUUCCUCUAUUUUUCCAUAUAUAUUUUUUCAACAAUAUGUCUUUGCAGGUUCUGUUUUUAUACGUCUCUUUUUUAUGUACAUUUCCUUUAAGUAGUUCUAAGUACUUAAAUAUGUAGAUCCUAAAAUAAAACAAGGUCCGCAAAAUUGCAUUGCCACAUUCUCCACUAGAGUUGAGUUAAAGUUUAAUUAAAGUGAAUUACAAGCUUCCCAGUACUAGUUAUGUUGCUUUUCAUGGCAAAGUUCUUUUGGUACACACCUAAGUUUCAAAUAUACAGAGGUAAAAGCAUUCAGUAACCUGAUUCCAGGGAACAUCUCAUCAGGAAGAGAUCCACGCAGAAUCAUUUUGUCCACAUGAGCAGUGGGGGUAAGAUGGGGAAGUGGCAAUUAUCCUGCUUUAAGGGAAGUUUCAUUCACUAGAAAACAUUCUCCUCAUCAAGGAAUAAUGGAGGAAGGCCCAAAUAUUUCAGUGAUUCAACUUAAGAGGAGAAAACUCCCUUUGGGUGGAGAAAAACUAAGGGCUUUUAAUCCCCAAAUUUAUUUAAAGCUGAGAUAGCACCAGGGCUUAAAGUACACUGGAGUAGGGAAAAUAUGAGAACAUCAUUAGUGGAGAUAAUACUUUAUGAUUACCCUCAUUUUAUGCCCUUCUGACUUCUUCUAUUCUAUUAAGCUCUUUAAGAAGCAUGACAAUGAGGGGGGCAAACCCUCAAUAUCUAGUGGGGGCACACCCUCACUAUCUAGUUAGCACACAAACAAUUGCAGUAAUGGUAAUAAUAAUAACAGUAAGCUUAUUGAUUGAACUGACAGGCACUGAGCUAACUGUUCUACAUUUCAACCAUAUUCAAACCUCAGAAAAGUUCCACAAGAUAAGAAAGAUUACACCCCUUUUAAAGUUUUCAGUCUCAUUAUGACUUUACAUGAGUGUGAAGAGUAUAUGAAAUUGCUCACAUCAUCCCUAAUCUCAAAGAACAUAUAGUAUAAUAAGAAAAAGAUGUAUACAUAUAGGACAAUUAAAAAGUACAAUCAAGAAUAAAAUUCUGACACAUAAGACUUAAUUGGAGGACAAGAAAUAUGAAGAUGCUAUAGCUCUCCAUUAAUUCUUGAGUCUCCCAAACUCCAGCUCAGACUUCUUGGCAAGCGUGGGUCUGCACCCUGAUCAGCAGCACCGACCAACUAACUUAUCUUUUCCACAUCUCAUUAGAGAUAGUUAAUGAAUCGGAAGAUGCCUCUUCAGCAUCUUGUAUCAUUGCUUUCAGCAGCAUACACUAUCUGCAUUUCAUUAUACAUUUAUCAGAUGGUCGGUUUUAUUAUAUAUUAAUGUAUUUGAAGACCUCAAAUUCACCCUUUAAAAGUGAUCAUAUUUUUCCUUGCCAUGAGAUAGAUUAAUCAAAAGAAGAAUUGGUUUUACCUGAUGCUCUGAACGUCUCUUAUUUGGCUUUAAUGUUACUUAAUUGAUGCUCAAACAAAAAUACUUUAUACAUUUCAUUUCAGAGACUUUCAAACAUACAAUCUUGGAAUACUAAGAGCAUUACAGAUUUUCUAGCCCCCAAUUUUUAUUUUAUACAUUUGAAAUUGAUGACAGACUAAUAAAGGUCUAGAUCAUGAACCUAGGUCUCUUAAAUUACUGCUUUGUCCUCAAUUCAAUUCAAUCAAUAUUUUCUCAGAAUCUGUUAUAUGCUGGGCACUGUGCUAAGGGCUGAUAAUAUAGUGGUAAACAAGACACAGUCUAGUGGGAAAUAGAGACAUUUUUGUUAGUGUUUGUAUAUCAUUUAUCUAUACACAUUAUACAUAUUUAAGCUACUGUGUUGAUAAUAAGAUGGCAAUAUAGUCGUAAUAAUAAGGUCUCUCAUUUAAUGCAUGUCUCAGUGUGCCAGAUUCUGUGACAUUGAGUUUCUUAUUUUGCUUAAUUCUUGUAAUAACCAUGCAAAAUAUUUGUGACUGUCCCCAUUUUAUAUGUGAAGAAGUCAGGACUUGGCUCAAGCAAACUGCUCAUCAUCAGACAGCUAAUGGUUGGAAUGGAUGCAUAUCUAAUUCCAGAGUCUUAAUGCUGUCCACUGCAGUAUACUUCUGAGAUCUCUUUCUUAAUGCUAUAUUUCCAAACUUCUCAUGGAUAUUGAUAAAUGAAAAAAUAUACACUAGAUAUACGGUCAAAAUCAAAGACUUUCUUCAGCAAAUUAAAAAUUAUAACAAUAAAUAAAGAUUGCCUUUUGAGAUGUUCUGAUCACUUAGUCAAUUUUUGAAAGUGUAAGUGAUUUUAAAGUUGAGCUGGAGGAGUGAACAUGAAGUGAAUCUCAUGUUUUGCUUAAAGCAAAUACCAUCAUGUUAUGCAAAGAACGAGGACUUUGAAGUCACACAAACUUGGUUUUAAAUCUCAACUUUGUCUUUCUCUCAUUGUAUAGUCUGGGUGAUGCUUCUCAAAAUCUUGUACUGAACAUUUCCUCAUGCAUAAAAAUGUAGGUUAUGCCCCUUAUUCAAGAGGAUUGUGGUGUGAAUUGAAUGAGAUCAGGUAUGUAACGUGCCUAAUGCAAUGGCAGAUGUAGUGGGUAUUUAAUAAAUGCUCAUUCCCUGAAUGGGAUCAAUGCACAAAAUAAGGGACUAUUGAAGAUACUUUGCACUGGAAGGAAUGCUGUCAAAGGUGGUAGGAGAAAUAUCUUCUCAAUAACAAUCUUGUUCCCCAGAAGAACUAUGGGCAUAAGAGGAACAAGGUGUGGUAGAGCUAAAUUCCCUUUUGGAUGAAACCAUUUGCAUCCUUCUAACUAGGAAAGGAAAGGCCUAUUCUCCCUUUUAAAAGUAGCAGAAGAGGAGAUGGAGUAGUUUUAAACGUGACAGAGGAUCUUUCCCAGCAUCCUUGAAAUUAUCUGCCUAUAUGUCUCAUCUCCACCUCAUUCUCCAACAUAAGGCUGGCCUGAUACAGGUGUGGAAACAGCACAGGCUAUAUCCAGGCUACUUGGGGGCUGGAAAGAAGCCACAGCAAUAUCCAUGGUGCAGGAUGUCUUUUUGCAGAGGAUCUUCUCUCUUGGAAGCAAAGGUAAGUCCACAUUAGUAGAACAGAGGGUAGUUAUCUCACUCACUGCUCAUAGGCAAAUCAGCAUCCUCUGCUUCCAGAAUCCCAGCAUAUCUGUACUUCAAACACUUAGGCGGCUACAGAGCUGUUCUUUUACAAGAUGGGCAUUUACACUUAAAAACAAGGAAAGGAGAUAUAUGAAGGAUAAAUUGAGAUUCCCCUGGGUGUUCACACAGCAUCUCCUUACUUCAGGGUUUUCAUUCUCAUGGAAAAUUGGCAACAUUUUCAAGAGUGACCAUUUACCAAGGACGUUUUAUGAGUCAGACAUGUAUUAUUCCUGAUGCGUACAUCAAUCUGCAGAAAUAGACAUUAUUUUAGAUGAGAAAAUUGAAUCUCAAAGAAGGUAAAUAAACUGCUCGAGUAACAAAACUAAUAAAUGAGAGAGCUGAAUUUGGUACUCAAGUCUAUAUGAAGCCUAUGCCUAGUCAACCUAGAUUCCUCAUCAGGCUAGAAGUGAAGAUACUUGAUAGAUUCCACCUCCAGAGCCCAAUACACUUGAAGUGAAUUCUUGCAGAUUAAUUUCAUCACCUGUGAGAACAGUGAAUGCCAGACAAUGGAGAUGAGUUCAGCAGAAGCAAGAAGCUGAACCAUGAGUCCCACUCAUAUUACCGAAUGCUAAAUAUCAAGGCAUUUUUGAAUCACUAUCUAUUCCAGUAAUAACAGAGAUCCUCACAGGCAUAUUAAAACAGAAUUCACAGACACCUCUGAUGGAAUACAAAAGUAAAACUAGAGGUUAGAAGAUGCAUUUUCCAGGUUAAAAAAUGCAUUUGUUUUGAAACACCCUGUUAAUAAAAAUGUCCAUUGUCGCAAGAGUCCCUUCGUAGUCAUACCCAAUAUGACUGAAAGAAGUUUGGAGACCAAAGGCAACAUCUUUAAAUAUUUAAAGAUUAAAAUGAAAAUUAAAAAUAGAUUUCCUUUCAAUGAAAGGUUUUAAAUUGAGCCCGUAAACUAUGUUUGAUUUUUAAAGCUAGCAGGAAUGCAUGUUAAGUAUUAAAGAUGUUUAACGUGAAAGUGUGUAUUCAAUAAAAAAUAAAUGAUUCAUUUUUAUAUAUGGUUUCCAAUUUAUUUUGUUGGACCCAACCUCCCAUUGGAAAUGCAGGAAAACAUCCUUAA
Molecule: long non-coding RNA, 6968 nt
Filed under: Equus caballus (horse)
Lineage: Eukaryota; Metazoa; Chordata; Mammalia; Perissodactyla; Equidae
Description: lncRNA (ENSECAG00000047078.1)
Source: RNAcentral